Molecule: ribosomal RNA, 446 nt
Filed under: uncultured Anaerolineaceae bacterium
Lineage: Bacteria; Bacillati; Chloroflexota; Anaerolineae; Anaerolineales; Anaerolineaceae
Description: bacterial SSU rRNA
Rfam family: Bacterial small subunit ribosomal RNA
Source: RNAcentral
CUCACACAAGCAGCGGAGCGUGUGGUUUAAUUCGUUGCUACACGAAGAACCUUACCUGGGUUUGACAUAUAGGUUGUAGGGAACUGAAAGGGACCGACCCUUCGGGAGCCUAUACAGGUGUUGCAUGGCUGUCGUCAGCUCGUGUCGUGAGAUGUUCGGUUAAGUCCGCUAACGAGCGCAACCCUCGUCGUAUGUUAUAUGUGUCAUACGAGACUGCCGGUAAAAGCCGGAGGAAGGUGAGGAUGAUGUCAAGUCAGCAUGACCUUUAUAUCCAGGGCUACACACACGCUACAAUGGUCUGUACAAUGGGUAGCCAAGCCGCGAGGCGGAGCCAAUCCUGAAAGCAGGCCUCAGUUCAGAUUGCAGUCUGCAACUCGACUGCAUGAAGCCGGAGUUGCUAGUAACCGCAGGUCAGCAAUACUGCGGUGAAUACGUUCCCGGGUCUU